Molecule: long non-coding RNA, 305 nt
Filed under: Mytilus galloprovincialis (Mediterranean mussel)
Lineage: Eukaryota; Metazoa; Mollusca; Bivalvia; Mytilida; Mytilidae
Source: RNAcentral
GUUCCAUGCAUCUCCAAGUUUCUCUUCAAGUAUUUGAGUUCUAUAUUCCCCUAAUAAGGUAUUAAAUUUAAUUUUUGUCAGACAUAGUUGAAGUAAUGUUUAACAAUAUUUGUUUAUUAACAUCAUUUUUACAAAGUUUACCAGCUUAAGUAAUGUCCUCAAAUUUCUUUAAAGGUACAAAGUGUAUCACUCCCAGACAUUGUAAGUAAAUGUCUAAGCCCUAGGACCCAAAGUUUACCAUCACUAACGGACACAGGAAAACCUUCAAAUUUUCCCCAAAACUUUGAGGUUUCGUCAUUCAAGAG